This 476-nucleotide ribosomal RNA is filed under the name uncultured bacterium. Its description in RNAcentral is "partial 16S ribosomal RNA". It matches the Rfam family "Bacterial small subunit ribosomal RNA", at positions 29 to 523 of the family's 1533-position model. The record is from RNAcentral.
AGUGAACGCUGGCGGCGUGCCUAACACAUGCAAGUCGAACGAUGAUUGAGAGCUUGCUCUCAUGAUUAGUGGCGCACGGGUGAGUAUACCAUAGAUAGUGUACCUCUUAGUUCGGGAUAGCCACUGGAAACGGUGAUUAAUACCGGAUACUCCUUCUUGUCUCAAGGCAAGUCGGGAAAGUUUUUUCGCUAAGAGAUCAGUCUAUGUCCUAUCAGCUAGUUGGUGAGGUAAUGGCUCACCAAGGCAAUGACGGGUAUCUGGUUUGAGAGGAUGAUCAGACACACUGGAACUGAGACACGGUCCAGACUCCUACGGGAGGCAGCAGUGAGGAAUAUUGCACAAUGGAGGAAACUCUGAUGCAGCAACGCCGCGUGGAGGAUGACGCAUUUCGGUGUGUAAACUCCUUUUAAGAGGGAAGAUAAUGACGGUACCUCUUGAAUAAGCACCGGCUAACUCCGUGCCAGCCGCCGCCGUAA